This 427-nucleotide ribosomal RNA is filed under the name uncultured marine bacterium. RNAcentral describes it as "bacterial SSU rRNA". It matches the Rfam family "Bacterial small subunit ribosomal RNA", at positions 360 to 804 of the family's 1533-position model. The record is from RNAcentral.
AAUAUUGCGCAAUGGACGAAAGUCUGACGCAGCAACGCCGCGUGGGUGAUGAAGGUCUUCGGAUUGUAAAGCCCUGUCUUCGAGGACGAUAAUGACGGUACUCGAGGAGGAAGCCACGGCUAACUACGUGCCAGCAGCCGCGGUAAUACGUAGGUGGCAAGCGUUGUCCGGAUUUACUGGGCGUAAAGAGUGUGUAGGCGGAUGAUUAAGUCAGAUGUGAAAUACCGGGGCUCAACCCCGGAACUGCAUUUGAUACUGGUCAUCUAGAGUGCAGGAGAGGAGAGUGGAAUUCCUAGUGUAGCGGUGAAAUGCGUAGAGAUUAGGAAGAACACCAGUGGCGAAGGCGACUCUCUGAACUGUAACUGACGCUGAGACACGAAAGCGUGGGGAGCGAACAGGAUUAGAUACCCUGGUAGUCCACGCCGUA